GCCCGCGGUCGGGAAGGCGGGGACCGUGCUGAGCCAACUGCGCCUGCGCAGUAGCACCGAGAGGAGAACAAAGGCUAGAUAGAGGGGACCCGUGAGCGGCUGCUCGUUGUUGCCGCCUUCCCUCAGGUUCGGAAUGUAGGCGAGAAUAGAACGUUGUCAUAGAACCAAGAAACCAUAGAGUCUCACAGCCAAACGGAGUGGUAGAGAGCCUAUCGCCCUACGGGUUCAGUUUUGAAUGGAGGAAAAAGGAAAGAUUCCACACGCAGUUAGCAGCAACAGCAUAAAACAGGCAAUAACUGUAGUAAGAAAGAUCAAGAAAUUAUUUGAAAACUGAGAAUAAAAUUAAACUUGGAAAGGCGGAGAGGCUCACCGUUGUCCUGAGUAAAAAAAGAGUGACUUUUGUAAAAAUGACAGUUCUUCCAAGUUAAAUAAAUUGAUUUUACUCGGCCAACCCACAGUCUGUCUGGGAACAAUGGUAUGAAGAAUGGAAAUGGAUUCUGAAGGAAGAAUGUGAAAACGACCCUGAUUCUUCAGGUAACAUCUACAGGUUCCAGGCUGCCCUUUAACCCAGAGAUCCACCUGUCUCUGCUUACCCAGUACCAACUACUGGGAUAUUGUGGAUAUAAGCAUGUUUCUGUUUUGGUCCCAGGUGUGGGAUGUGGACUGAUUCACCUGGUCCACAGCAGCAGACUAUUUGCUUCAUGUGGAUUUUGAGAGGGGCUCUUUGCCAGCUGCAGAUAGUUUGAAUCUAAAGACUCCAUUGAGAGAAUAAAUGUCAGCACCCAGAGAGUGGAAUGACAAGAAAGAACAAUGCUGGUCUUGCUUCCCUGGUUGUGAAACAAAAAGUUGAAGAUCUCUUGAAAUGAGGAAUAGACUGGCUCCAAAGAACCCCACACCCUAACCAGUAGGAAGCAGCUAAGACAGAACUACAUGCCCUCUCCCACUAACCCUUUCUCUAUCCUACCUGGUGUUGUGCUAAUGGAAGGGAUUGGGAUGGAGUAGGGAGAAAAAGAUAAAAGAAACACAAUUAAAGAUUUUUUAAAUUAAAUUUUUAUUUUUCAUAUAUAAUUUUAGUUUAUUCACUUUGUAUCCCAGCUGUAGCCCCCUCCUUUAUCCCCUCCUAAUUACACCUCCCUCUCUCAUCUCCUCCUAUGCCCCUAUUGCAAGUCCACGGAUAGGGAAGGUCCUCUUCCCCUUCCAUUAAAAGAGUUUUUAAGAAGUCCUCCAACACUGGGAUUAAACAUGAGUGUUACCAUGGCUGGCUUUUGAUUAAUGGUUAAAAAGAAAAGAAAAGCCAGACCAUUAUCAAACUCAGAAAUCCCAGUUAAUUGUAUUCUUAAUAUUUUCUAUUGAAGUUCUUUUGAAAAAUCUAAAAAGAAUUGCAAUAUACUGUAGUUAAUAAAGGGGAAAAUAAUAUAAUUGCCAUCUUAGAUGCAGAAGACUUCAAUAAAGUUAAGAUUAAAUUCUCACGACUCUUUGUAAAAGCUCAGGUUAUAAUUUUGAUGUUAAAUAUCUCCCAAAGGCCCAGAUGCUAAAGACUUGGUCGUCAUCUUGUGGUGGAACUUUUUGAGGUGAGACUUGGGAUGGUGACUCUUGGCUGUCAACUUGCCAGGAUUUAGAACCACCUAGAAAUCACACCUCUAAGCAUUUGUUAAGUGUUUCCAAAAAGGUUUAAGGUAAGUAAAAAGAUCAACUUCAAGCAGCAUCCUUCCUUAGGCUGGUGUCCCUGACUGAAGAAAACAGGUGAAGUCUAAGCUUUCACCUCUGCAUCUUGACUGCUGCCCCAUGGUGCUCCUGCUGCGAUGCAGUCUCUGUGGACUGUGACCAUAGACCAUGUCCCCAAAGAAACCCUUCCUUGCUUCUUUCAGUUACUUCGGGCAGGUGUUUUGUUAAAACAUUAAGAACAGUAACUGGGGGGCUGAAGAGAUGGCUUAGUGGUUAAGAGCACUGGCUGCUCUUCCAGAGGACCCGGCUUCAACUCCCAGCACCCACAUGACAAACAAGAAAUAGAGGAGAAUCUUUCAUCUAAUAGAGAAUUUGAAAAACAACUAGGUGUUGUUAUGGAGCACAUACAUUGUACUGCCAGCCCUUGGGAGUCUAACCCGAAAGGAUUGGUAUCGGUUCAGGAAACUCUCAGCUCAAAGGAGAUUUAUUUGCCCCAGAGGGACAAAGUUCAGGGAAUAAGAGACCAAGACAGAGCUGGGCAUGGUGCUACAUGCCUUUGAUCCCAGUGCUCGGAGACAGAGGCAGGCAUAUCUCUGAGAGUUUGAGGCCAGCCUGGUCUACAAAGUGAGUCCAGGACAGCUAGUGCUGUCUGGAAAAAAAUUCUGUCUGGAAAAAAAAAUUGAGAGAGAGAGAGAAGACAGGAGAUAGAGGAUGGAAGUCAAAGGGGUGAAGGGGAAGGGAACAGUGGAGAGGGGGCAGGGAUAUUUGUCCUGAGGAGGCCAAAGGACUGUUUCUGAAUAGAGAGGAAACAGACAUGGCCCAUAGGCAAAUGGCAGCUUAUAAAGGUAAAAGAGGAAACCCUAUGUUAGGAUGAGGUGUUUAAUUUUAAUUGGGCAUGUUAAAGUCCAGCUUUUGAUUGCUGGACUUUAGUACCUUCCGAGCUGGAUCUUGGUAGUCAGGCUCAGGAGGAGGAAGUAACCAAGUAAGGGAAUAGACCAUGGGUCUAGUUUUAGGAAUGUAAUCUCACGGUUUUUAGAAAGGUAGAGGGAAUGGGAGAGAAGGACAAGGCCUGCCAGAGGCAUGCUUGCCAUGCUCAGGCUGGCUAGAGUCCCUUGAAGAACUUGUCUCCAAAAUCUAAAAACCAAAACAAACACAAAUACAGCAGCCCCCAGUUUGAAUGGUGAAAGGUUUCAUUUUCUCACUAAGACCGAGAGCAGAGAAAUAUGAUAAUCACAUUUGAGAUGAGUUGAAUUUUUUAUUCUCUAAAAUGACAUAUUGAAAGCCAGGUGGUGGUGGCACAUGGUUUUAAUCCCAGCAGUGAGGAGGCAGAGGAAGGCAGAUCUCUGAGUUUGAGGGCAGCCUAGUCUACAUAGCGAAUUCCAGGAUAGUUUGACCCUACCUCAACAAAACUGGUAAUCAUGUUGAGUACAUGAUGGAUCACACCUGUACUCCCAGCCCUUGGCGAUAGAGGCGGGGAGACUAGGAGUUCAUACUUUUCUUUGGCUACAUGGUGUGUUCAGGUUGGUCUACAUGAGACCUUGUCUAAAAACAAAAAAUCGGUGUGUUACAAAUACUCUAUAAUUUUACUUCACUUAUAUCUAGAAAAGUCAAGUUCAUAGAGACAAAGCAGAAUUGGGUGUCAAGGAAAAGCAUAUGAGUUAUUUAAUGGGCAUCUUCAUAUCCAUUCUGUUUGGGAAAGUGAAGAUAGAAAAAAGGGUAAUGGUGGUAGUUAUUAGGUCAAUAUACUUAAAGGCACUAAAUCUGUUCUUUAAAAAUUUUAAAUGAGGUAGGUGUGGUGGAAUAUACCUUAUUCCCAGGAGUUAGGAGACAGGCAGGAGAAUCAAGAGUUAGAGGCCAUGCUGGCCUACAGAAUAAGGACCUGUGUCAAAAACAAAACAAAAAUCCCCAGAAAGACUCGGUGUAGAUCAGUGGUAGAACCUUCGCCUCUAUGCUCAAGGACCUGAGCUCAGUCCCUAGACUCCUGCUGCCAAAAAGUGGUGAGCCGAAGCAGAGACAGACAAGCACACUGAAGAAACCAGCUGUGCACUAUGGACAUGCCUUCAGUCACAGCACUAAGGAAAGCAGAGGACGGCAGAUCUCUGAAUUUGUAAUCCAGCCUGGUCUACAGAGCAAAUGCCACCAUAGCCAGGACUACACCAAGAAACCACGUCUUGAAAACCGAAAGUAGAAACCAGCUGAGCUACUUAGAAGAGCUCAAAGCAACUGAGGCAACUCUCCAACCUGCUGAGCUGCCUUCAGGCUGUGCAGUGUGCUCCAGGUUCCCAGCUUUUUUGGGGAGCUGUCACCUGUGCUGGGGUGGGCUUUGGCUUCACAGUUGUAACCCCUCACCCAUAUUCCUGUAAGUAACUCCAAUAAAGUGCAGUUUCAUCAAGUUG
Meriones unguiculatus (Mongolian gerbil) is the source of this 4061-nucleotide long non-coding RNA. RefSeq lists it as uncharacterized. The record is from RefSeq and is a predicted model, not a curated record. NCBI's taxonomy places the organism in Eukaryota, Metazoa, Chordata, Mammalia, Rodentia, Muridae. The transcript has 2 exons.